This 777-nucleotide ribosomal RNA is filed under the name uncultured Neocallimastigales. RNAcentral describes it as "partial large subunit ribosomal RNA". It matches the Rfam family "Eukaryotic large subunit ribosomal RNA", at positions 24 to 645 of the family's 3401-position model. The record is from RNAcentral. Lineage: Eukaryota; Fungi; Neocallimastigomycota; Neocallimastigomycetes; Neocallimastigales.
UUAUGUGAUCGUCUCUCGCAUAUCAAUAAGCGGAGGAAAAGAAACUAACAAGGAUUCCCCCUAGUAACGGCGAGUGAAGCGGGAAGAGCUCAAAUUUGAAAUCUUAAAGGGUUUCCCUUUACGAAUUGUAGUUUAAAGAAGUGUUUUCUGUUGAGGUUUUGGUAAAAGUUCUUUGGAAUAGGACAUCAUAGAGGGUGAGAAUCCCGUAUUUGACCUUUACUUUCAACUUUGUGAUACACUUUCAAAGAGUCGGAUUGUUUAGGGAAUGCAGUCCAAAAUGGGUGGUAAAUUUCAUCUAAAGCUAAAUAUUGGCGAGAGACCGAUAGCGAACAAGUACCGUGAGGGAAGGAUGAAAAGAACUUUGAAAAGAGAGUUAAACAGUACGUGAAAUUGUCAAAAGGGAAGCGUUUGACACCAGUGUUGUUUUUCUGAAAAUCAAUUAAAGAACUGUUUAUGCUAAGUUGUUUAGACUUUAUCAGCUAACUGUUUAGUUUUGAGCUUUUCUUUAAUGCACUUUUCAGUUAACAAGUCAACAUCAAUUUCUUUUGCUGUAAAAAAGCUUGAGGAAGGUGGCUUGAGAUUCGUCUUAAGUGUUUAUAGCCUCUUGCCUAUGCAGUCGGAGAGAUUGAGGUCUGCAGCGUAGAUCCUUCGGGGCUAAAUGCAUUUGUGCUAAGUUAUAGCAUUUUAUAGACAACUUGUUGACUAUGAUUUGUCUUGUAGCUUACUCGCUUAUGUUAUUUUACCUACGCUUAGGAUGUUGAAGUCAUCGUAUCGCGC